AAAUCUGAGGGCGAUCUGGCUGCGACAUCUGUCACCCCACUGAUCGCCAGGGUUGAUUCGGCUGAUCUGGCUGGCUAGGCGGGUGUCCCCUUCCUCCCUCACCGCUCCAUGUGCGUCCCUCCCGAAGCUGCACGCUCGGUCGAAGAGGACGACCAUCCCCGAUAGAGGAGAGGACCGUUCUUCGGUCAAGGGUAUACGAGUAGCUGCGCUCCCCUGCACUGUCAUUUUUGAUAGAAUAGUGUAAAUAGUAAAGUUCUAGUAAAAUUUUAGCAGACCCAAUUAUCACUAGUUUUUAUU
RNAcentral lists this small nuclear RNA (297 nucleotides) under Neogale vison (American mink). RNAcentral describes it as "Neovison vison (American mink) 7SK RNA (ENSNVIG00000005926.1)". It matches the Rfam family "7SK RNA". Rfam says of the family: 7SK was discovered as an abundant small nuclear RNA in the mid-70s but a possible function has only recently been suggested. The record is from Rfam by way of RNAcentral. Lineage: Eukaryota; Metazoa; Chordata; Mammalia; Carnivora; Mustelidae.